UGGUAUAAAUCUUACUCUCUUAGAUAUUCUAUUCUUACUUGGAUGGCCAUUUUGCAGAAACUGAAAGUGGCUGAUUUGUUAAUCAAAAAAUUUAUCCAGGUCAAUCUGGUUUGCUGUUUUUGCAACAAUGCCCAGGAAGAUCACAACCAUCUUUUCUUUAACUGUAUUUGAUUACAUGGAUAACCAGCUGCUUAUGUCCAAAUGGGAAAAGAAUUUCUGCUGGCUUACUAUUGGCUGCACUGUGUAUCAUCUUUUGAGAGAAAGAAAUAAUCGCAAAUUUGAUAACAAAUGGAAUACUUUGGAGUACAUUAUCAUUUCUAUAAAAAAUGCUAUUCGGGUCAAGACUUGUACCUGGAAGCAUUAUCAACAUCUUCUUGAAAAAUUUCAAUUCUACUGAAGUUUUGGUCUUCCCUCUGUCUGGCUGGAGCGGGAGAUCACCCGAUGCUGCUUGAUUACUUUGCUGUUCUUGCUGUGUAGCUUCUGUUUUAUUAGUGUUUUUCUGAUCUGUAGUGGUUAUGUCUUUGUUUUAUUUUGCUCUUUGUGAGGUUUUCUGCUUGAG
This is a long non-coding RNA of Dendrobium catenatum, 559 nucleotides long. RefSeq lists it as uncharacterized. The transcript is spliced from 2 exons. NCBI's taxonomy places the organism in Eukaryota, Viridiplantae, Streptophyta, Magnoliopsida, Asparagales, Orchidaceae. The record is from RefSeq and is a predicted model, not a curated record.